UACGCGUGCAUAGCACGUGUGAUCGGUAAUGAGGAGAUAUAGAAAUCCUCGCCUCCUUGCGCUUUCGCUUCUCCCUCUUCCGUUCUGAUGGUGACGCGAUGGAGGGAGAAGAGCCCCGGGCUCAAAAUCCUGUGGAUUUGGACAUUGGGAACAGCCGCAGUUCUAAUCACCAAUGUUGUGAGGACGAGAUUACAAGACAUGGAGAAGAUACUGAGAGAAGAAGACGCCAUGCGAUCGGAAUCCACCGCCCCUCCUGUUGAGCGGGUUAAGGAUGAAUGAUUUUUUCUUUUGGUAUCAGCUGAAACUGCAUUUUUUGGCGAUGUAUGAGCUUAAAUUGUUUCUCUUCAGAGUAUAAGACUAUAAGCAGCUUGGAGUUGUGUCUUCACUCCUCUUUUUCUUUUUUUUUUAAAUAUAUAUUAUUUGGAACGUAUUUCUGCUCCAUAUUCAGUCAUAAAUUUUUUGCUUCUGCUCGGUUUUAUAUAUGAUUUUUGCAAAAACUGAAAACAUAUGUUUGUAAAUUCGAUUGUGAAAUCGUUGACUUUAUUCUGGAUGUUUUAUCCUAUAUCUUGCUAAAUAUAUUAUCAGCUACAAAAUGAGUGUGAGUGUGUAUUUUUUUAACUGAAGAUGCUAGGUGAAGAUCAAAUUUAUUUCGAGUGUUGUAACUUCUAAUGUUAAUCAAUUCUUCAUAGAAGCCCAAACUAAGGCAGCUUUGGUGCUAAAUAUAAAUGAUCUCAUCUUAUUGCAGCAUAUCUGUGGAAUAACUUGUAACAGUGUUUUAUAUCUUUUCAAUUUUGUAAGCAUCGAGUUCUAGCAUGUCGUGCUGGCCCUAUGUAGAAAAAACACUAUACACAUUACUUUUGGAUUUUUCUCCUGCUAGUCUUUAAUUUUCACACAAUUUGGAUGAUGCACCUUUGACAAUUAAUGGCUAGGAUUAAUUUUGUCAAACCUGAGGACCAAGACUAUUUGACAUAAAGCUCAUAGGCGAUGAGGAUGUGCAACUAAUAGGACCAUUGUACCUGGAAUGAUUUCCUUUCACUGAAUAGUAAAUAAUCUUGGGGAAGUGGGUGCAAAGGAGGAAAAGACAAGAACAUUGAGACAGAUUAGUGAAGAGGUGGUAAUAUAUUUCAGAGUCUGUUGUAAGAUUGGAUUCUAUGUCAUAUUAAGCAUCAGAGUUAUCUACAGUGUAUGAGGUGUGGGUAACCAUGCUGACAACUAACAAUUGUAAAUUUAAAGCUCUGGUAUUAUGGAGAUAAUGAGAUAAGAAUCAAAAAGAAUGUUUUUGUAAUGUAGAAGUUCUCAAUCUAACGUAAUAGGAAUUAAAAUUUCAUACUUAGGACAAAUUAUAGUGGGUGGAAUUCAUUGUUGAAGAGACCAACUCUCUACCAAUUUCUAAAAACUGCAAGUAAAAAAAUUGAUAAGUUUCCUGGUGUCUAAUGUGUACUUGAUUUGGAUAGGUAUCCAACAUGGAUUAUAGGAGCAGGAUGCGACUGUCUAGGUAGCAUAGAGAUAAACAAGUACCAUAGACAUAUCCAUGACCCUGAAACCUGAUGCCUAUUGUUAUUGUUUUACAUUGUAAUUCCUUCACCAUAUGCACAUCUUUUAUCUUCAAAUAGUAUCAAGCCUAAUAAGUAAUAUGGUAAAGUGAAAUUGAAUGUUCUGAUGAAUAUUAAAAUCUGAUCUCUAUUAUGUAACUCAACCAAAAGCCAUUUCUAGACCUAGUAAAAAAGUUUCCCUUUGUAGUCAUGGCUCAGUAUGCAUCACUAAAUUUGUAUCCUUUUCUGCCAAAUUGCUUUUGCACAUUCCUUUUGGGUCAAAUUUCACCAGUGUCCAAUUAUCUAAAUCUUGCAAGAAGCCUGCUUUAUCUCUGAGCAUUCCAUAACUUGUGGGAUCAUAAAUUUUCCAUUUGGAAGGAAUGCCCUUUAGGGAGAUAUUGUUUGCAAAAAUGAAUUUUACAUGGACAUACCCUAGUAUACAUGAAUCAAUAAAUUAGAUAUUAAUUGAUGAAUUAUGUGCAUUUGACUUGGAAAAAUAUUUAAGAUAUAACACCGAGGUUAGGGACUUGGAGGUUCAUUUUUUGUAGGUCUAAGGACAUGGAAAUCCAUUUUCACCUUUUUGUUUGACUUGUCCAAUUUAACAACAUCGUGGUCACCCUUGCGGUCCAUGUGCUACAUUUAAUUAUAUGGAGGCUAUUCUUGCUCUGGAGUUGCCAAAUUGAACAGUAUGGAGGUCAUUUUCUCUUUAGAUUUGCCUAGUUUAACAGAUAUUCCUUCUAAGGAGUAUAUUGUUAUCCCACAAAUUUUAGCACACUUAAGUAUAAGAAAGCCUCCUUUUAGACGUAACUAGUUAGACUUCCAUCAUAAUGGACAUUGUAGGGGAAAGGGACAACUGAAAAAAGAAAUGAGUUUAGAUUGUUUGAUGCAUAUGGUCUCGCACAAGGUCCGCAAUCUCGAUACCGGGUACUGUAUCGGAAUCUUAUCGGUUCAUUACGGUAUGGUACGACACGUUACACCUUUGUAUUGAAAUAAUUCUUUUACUAUUUUUCUUAAUUUUUAUCUCAGUACACUUCAACACAGGUCGGUACACCUCGAUAUAAGCCAGUACGUACCUCGGUACGGGGCAGUAUGGGCUUGUACCGGCUUGAAAUUAAGUUUUGUACCGAUUUUUCCUCAGUACGUUACAGUACGUUACGGGGUGGUACGGCAGACCAUGAUCUUGUAUAAUCACGAGUCACUUUUCCGACAAAUUCGUAAUAUUUAUUGAGAGUGUUCAUUUCACAUACGUUGUACAGAUUUAACUUGAUAUGUUUUGAAGACAAAGCAGAUUGUGCUUAUAAAAGAGAUAGUGAUUUCAUUCUCCUAGGUAUUUAGUUAUUGAUUUCAUUCUCCUAUGUAUUUUCAGCUACAAAACGGUGGACAUUCCUGUUUAAAGGAUCUAUGGACGAUUGGAAACUGUGUCCAACAUUUAUUAUUCAGAGAGCAGGGAUGUCUACCUAAGCCUCUGGUAUUUGGAAAACACAGAGUUACCAAUAUUGAGGAUGCAUUAUGAUGCUACCCUCCAGCCUCUAGAUGAAAAGACUCACCUUUGCUGCUCCUCAUCCCCUAAUAUUGUUUUCUAUCUCUGCUAUAUAAUAUCUAAAAUAUCUUGUGGAAAGCCUCUAUCAGUGAUUGGGAGUGAUAAUUCUUUUGCUAUUAAUCACCAUUAGAACAAAAUUCUUGUCAUUUUUGGAUUCCUUUUGAAUUGGCUCUGAAAUAUCAAUAUCCAACAAUAUGCAUCACCAUUCUGCAUAUCGUGCUUUUGUGAUGGGGAGGGGACCUCCUUGACAGCCUUUUUGUUAUAUUAGCUAUGCUAGUUUACCAUUUCCCUGAAAUAUCCUGAUGGACCCAAUAACAUAGGGUUAGAAACCUUUGUGAUGGAUGAUAAAUGGUCAAAGGGUAUCUCGGGUUUAUGACCUUUAUGUCCUUAAACUGGGCAUGAUGGACCUCAAUGUCCCUAAACAAGAGACCUAUCUUAUCGUACAUUCUAUAAUUUGUAUGCCAAAAAUUUAAAAACCAAUGGAUUAGUAUGGUAUCAUAUCUCUUUGACAUGAUCGGCAUUGCUAUGGGUAUCGGAUUGACCAUCCAUACUAGUAUACAUCAAUUGUACUAGUUCGGACUGGUGCAUAUUAAUGAGUAUCGUACUAAUUGUAUUGGUUGGUACUGAUGGUUUUUUAUUCUUGUUUAUGCUACCCGUUUCAGUAUGUACUAUCAAUACUGAUACUAUUCCAAUAUCAUACCUUUCCAAUAGAAAAAUGGUACAUGGUUUAUUACCAAUAUUUAAAACCUGUUUAAUGUUCAAAUCAAAUGUACAUAAUUUAUUCAUUUGUAUUCAUUUAUCAUUUCAUGUAUAUCAAGAUUUUAAAUACUGAUGAGAUGGCAGGGCGUCCCACCAUCUCGAGUGUUGGGACGGGGAACUGUCCUGAGUGUUUCGAUGAUUAUCCCUUGUGUUAGAAUGCGAGGCAUCCCAUUCCAUGGAGGAACUGAGAGGGGCCAUCCCACGGUAUUUAAAAUGUUGAUGUAUAAACAUUCUGUUUGUCAGGUCAUAUAAUUUUCAGUAAGUAAUUUAAUGAAAAAAGUAAUGUUAUUUUUUUAUUCAAGUUCUCUAGCACUUUAUUGAGAUCUUUGCAUUCUCAAGGUCAAUUAAUGAUAGAUUCUUGAGUUUACUGGAAUCCAUGGACUCAGGCAAACAAAAGACUAUUUUGUUUUUUUCAUCUAAGCGUCUCUUAUCUCCAAGAGUUGUUUCUCCCAAGGGGUAGGUUCAUAAUCCCCUAGCUAUGUCUUUUUACCAAAUUCCAACUAUCCUACCCUUAACUUAUUAAAUGCAAUUUUAGUCUUUAGUUUUCCACUCCUUUUCUUUCCUUGCCUGCUGUAUGGAUAUUUGAAUGUUGCAGCUUAAGGUUUCUGUUUAUGCUUCUGCAUCCUUCAUAACCUUUUUAAUCUUUUGAAGUAGUAAAUUUUAAAACAGGGAUUUUUCCCCAUUGUCUGCCUUUUGGAUGUUAAUCUACUAUUUUGAAAUUUAUCAAUGCGAACCAUUGUAUACUUAUAUAUUUUCAACUAUUAUUUGGUGGCUUAUUUUGAGAUUUUCUCCAUGAGUUCUGCAAGUUUAGAUCUCACAAAUUUUGGUCAAAGUUGUUUUUUUUUUCCCUGAAGUAUUUGCCAAUUACCUUGACUGUGAAGUCAUAGAGUUUUAGCAGAAGACAUUUGGCAUAUCUUAUUAAUUUAGAUUGUUAUAUUUGUAAUCUAAAUUGUAAUUAUGGGAAUUCCAAAUUUCUGCCAGAGUAGCAGAGACCACAAUUUGAUUUUCAACAUUUGUUUCCCACCUCGUAAAUUGUUAUUACAAUUCUUAGAUGGAUCUGCAACAUGGACCUUAUAUUGCUUCUGGUGACAGGAAUGUACAGAUACAGUAAAAUUGUUAGAGAUUAUGAAAUAGUUGACCCUUUGAGAAUUUCAUAUUAAGAAUUUUUUUCUGUUCAUGGUACUGUGUGUCCUCAGGCACAAUAGAACCUAGAAAAUGAGUAACAAGACUACCAAACUAGUGUAUUCUGACUAGCUGAUCUUAAUCUAGUAGGUUGGGCAAUUUGGCUUCGAUAUAUCUAUAUUGAAGUCGGACUUUAGUUAGUAUCUUGUGGUCCCAGAUGACCUCUUGAACUCUAACAUAUAUGUGGAGAAACAGUUAAGGUCGUGGACUUCAAAUAAAGUCCAACAUAUAUCUAUAUUGUAGUCAGACUUUAGUUGGUAUUCUUGUGGUCCCAGAUGACCUCUUGAACGCUUGCCAUAUAUGUGGAGAAAAAGUCAACGUCAUGGACUUCAAAUAAGAACCUGAUGAUAGCAACUCUGCCUUGCAUCAUUUCUUUUUAGAAUGGCUGAUUACCCUGCUCUUCUGGUUUUCUGUUGCUUGGAGGACAUGGAAGCUGUAGCUUUCAUCUUAAUACCUGGUGAGGGACCAGGAAGUUUUUACUAUUUUAUAUUUUGAAUUCAUUUAGACAUUACAGGACAAUUUUAAAGUCUACGUUCAGUCAUCACGUUUCUGACAGCUGUUUACUUAGUAACAUAAUGUCUAGUAAGAUCACAUAGUUCUCGCAUAUGGUGAGAAGGAAAUAAACCAGCAUGCUGUCUUUGUGAAACAAUUUGACUUCCUGCAGCAAGAUGUCUCAACUUGAUAGAUUGGGAGAACAACUAGCAAUUUUCAAAGUUAUUAGAGGGAUGGUAUGGGAAUCCAUCCCGUGUACUCUCAACUAAAGUCAAUCCGUUAAAAAGAUAUCAACCCCUUGAAACACAACCAGAAUGGGGUUUUCCUUUUGGGGUUUUGUUGAUACGUUUUAAGUUUUCAUUGCAGGUAUUCACAUAUAAACCUGAAAUUUCCUGUUUUUGGUAAAUAAAAUAUAAGCACUUUUUGAAGAAUACUAGUUAUAAACUUAUAAUACACAAGCACAAACACGUCCUCUGAGCUUCUUUUUUUUUUUUUGUUGAUGGCAAGUUUCCACAGAGCUUGAGCUUGCUAGCGAGCAUAACUGAGCUAGCAACCAUUUCUUUCUAAUUUUUUGACUAUUACAUUAUUAUAAGUACUUUUUUGAGGGAAGAUUGGGUGAAGCCUUUAUCACAUCCCACUUAAUUUUUAUUGGACAUGCUUUUUCUAUGAAAAAUCAAGGGUUUAUUAACCGGAGAGUCAUACUAUUGACCUAAACUGUCCAUGACUUAGUUAAGGCCAGCUUGGUGCUGCCCAAGCUUGACUUGUUAACUAACUUUGAGUUUUGUUAGUUUUCUUAGUUAACAAACCAAAAUGAGCUUCUAAGGAAAAAAACCCCAGCUUCUUGCUUAAUCAAGUUCAAGCUGUUUGUAAGCUGCUCCGCCAUUUGGCAGCCCUAUAUUACAUAGAAUACUAGGGCUUUUUUUUCAUUUUCAAGCUUCUGAGGCAUGAACAGUAGUUCCACUCAUUUCAUCCCUAUUCCUAGAAGCAGCUGCAGGCCAUGCACUAGUGCACAAUUAACUGAAGCUAAUAACUCUGUGACCUUAAUCUUCUUGCAGGAAAUUAUUGCACAUGUAAUUUUUUUAACCUUCUACUAAUUGCGAUCUGCUUAGAUGGUGGGUUUUAGCGCAAUGGUAAAGUUGGUCUAUGACUUCUGAUUCUCUCUAUAUUCUGUACAUUAUUGGGAUGCACUUUUUUCUCGCUACUUGUCAUUAGCUUCUCAUUGAUUGAUAUUGUCAUUGAGAAGUUUUAGUGGAUUUGAAGAGCUAGUUGGCUACCUAUCUGAGGCUAUCUCAGCUUUUGUAAAGGAGCACUGCUAUUUUAACAUAGAAAUCUCAUUUGAGAAUGUGAUGCAUAGUCACCCAUCUCCAUAUGCUAAAAUGAGCAGUGCGACCAUAAUAUAGAAAAUUUGACAGUAACUGUGAUAUAGCUGAUAUUCAAUUUUCCUAGUGCAACAAAAUAGGAGCAAUAGGAAAAAUCAUACAUUAAUUGCAUGGCUUAUUUUUGUAUUACUUUUUGGUGUGCCAAAGCCCUCUAGCUGGCAGGUAAGGUCUCUGAGAGAUCGUACAAGAGUUUGAACAAAUAACUAUAGAUCAACUAGUUUCAGGCUAUUUUUGCAGGAAAAAUCAUCAAUGAUAUCCUAUAACUAGGUGGUAAACUGCUGAAGAUGAUUUUUUACUUUAACUAUUUUCUCUGCUGCUGCCAAAAAGAAAAUCUAUUUCCUCUACAAAUGGGAAAAUGGUUAUUCUGUUGUACCCAUGGUUCACUAGACAUAGGCAACCUUGAUGUAGGAAUUUAAGCCUCUAAUUAGUUUGGACCUGUCACCAGACCCCAAGUCGAGGCAAAAGUAGGUAAGCCUCUUGUUUUGGCUUGAUAGCUGUAGCCCGUGGUACCUCUACUCAUAGAUUGAAGCAUCAAUAUAGCAUGAUUGCCACCAGCACCUUCAUCGACAUCCAUAUCUCAGCCCUGCUAAUUUCCUGAAACAUUUAUGUUCUUGUUGAUGUCUCAUAGAUCUAAGUAAGAUAUCAUUUACAUUUCUUUCAUACUGGGGCCAUGUCUCAGUAGAACUUAUUGCAGCCACAACAGAAGCAACACAGGCUCUCAUCCAUGAAGGGUAAUUUUGGAAUCGAAACACUAGAUCUAACCUGAAUCUACCUCUAAUACGAAUCUUGUAGUUCCCUGACCAGGUUUGUUUUUCAAACCCUUAAUUAAACACUUUUCCUAACAGAUUAGAAAAUCAUUAGUCUAUCUCUACUUCAAUUUCCUUGCCUGCGAGAACUAUCCUUCAUAGUGACCUAAUUUUGAAAUGGGCAGUGAAAGGAUCUCCUGUUGCUUGAUUUGAUAAGUCCAACAAGACCAACUCUGUUGACCACAAAUGCUGCCUUCCAUAAUGCCAGAUCACUGCAGGAUGCAUCACAUCGAAAAGUUCUGAUCAGCUGGACACUCUUGGAACGAACUUUAGCAAAACUUCUGUGAAGUGUCAUUCUGUACAUUUACUAUAUCUUGUGCAUCAAAUAAAUGUCAUAUUCCAGAAGCUUUGUCAGUUAAUCAGCUUCAGCUACAUUGUUGCACUCAAGGGUCUUCACCUCCAGUCUUUCUGAGUUGAUCUACAGCAUCAGAUGAACUUUACAUGGUUGACAGGAUCAGUUUGUGCUGCCUAUGAUGAUGCCCAACUGUCUUUAGGUAACAAAAAGAACCACAUGCAAAAACUGCGUGAGAUUCCACUGGAUACUCGAGAUGUCUUAAUAGCAAAUCACCAUUUCUGCUGAGGCCGCACUGAUGGGCUGCUGAGUUUUCUUCAAGUACCAAAUGAUGCUUUCUGUAUCAAUAUAUUGAUAUUAUGAUCUCUGAGUAAAUCACAAGCAUGAAAGGUUCGUUGUACUCGUGUAAUCUCACUGUAGGAUGUAAUCUAAUAAGGCACUUAUCCAAGGAAGUGUUUAUGGCAGCACAUACUUACAAAGAUACCUACUCCUAAAGUUGCACUAAAGUAACUCAAGGAGGAUGACAUCAGUAAGAAGGUGAUGAUCUACAUGUGAUAACAUCAGAAUUCAAUGACCAUUCUCAAGCAUACCCAUCAAAAGAUACAUUCCACGACGCCUACAGGGUGAUCACUGUCAGGCCAAAACAGCAACUUACAAAAUUGAUGAGCUCAAACAGUAACUUCUCUAUGUUGGUCACAAUGGAAUAACUGUGAGAGGAUAAAACCAUCGAAUUCCAGGGAUUUAAAUAGAUCAUAGAAUCAAGUACUAAACAAGCUAUAUCAAAAAGCGAGUGAAAUAUGGAAGCACGAGCCCCUUGAGAAAUGCUUAACAUGAUGCAGAGAAGUGAAUUGAAGAUGUAUAAUACCGAAUUCACAAUUGCAAGCAGCUACAACAAUUUGCAUCAGCCUAGGGUGAAGUAUAUGACAGGUUGUUGAAGAAAUUACUUGAAUUUCUCCACAAGUAACUCUUGAAGAGCACUUCUU
Non-coding RNA from Phoenix dactylifera (date palm), 8965 nucleotides. The record is from RefSeq and is a predicted model, not a curated record. Lineage: Eukaryota; Viridiplantae; Streptophyta; Magnoliopsida; Arecales; Arecaceae.